UAAAAAUCUUUGUAUCGGUUAUCCUUCGCGUUACGUUAAGGAUGCGCAGUUUAUUUAUGAAGUGCAACAAGAACAUACACGCGGAUGACAUCAAAGUACUGCGAGAGCGACUCGAAAGAUCAUGGACAGCAUUCUGAUUUCAAAUCACUCUCGCGGUAUUUUAACGUCAUCCGUUUGUCAGUUCCUGCAACUCAACAUUACGUUGAACACCUUGUCAAAAAUGAUUGAGAUGGCCAAUCAAAUCAAAAAAGGCGAGUGCCACUGGCCAAUCACGAGGUUUCCUGUUAACGGAAGCCGAGCGGCGGCCAAUCAAAUUAACCAAUAGGCGGGGUUACCGUCGGAGUAGCAGUUACACCGCGUCAAUCAAUCAUAACGGACACAGAUUUCAAAGGCAGCAGGAUGAAAGAUAACCAGUAAGUACCUGAACUUAAAUAUUUAAACUUUUCCAAUCAUAAAAAUGUUUUUGUUUAAAUGUCUAACAAACGUAUUAAGGGAUGCAAACGUUUACGUGAUUCGUGUGUAACGUAUGUGUGACAAUUAACGUUAUAUUGAUAUUAAAUUAGCUGUUUUCUAUCAGGUUAAAAAUAACUGUGGUCAUAUUAUAAUGAAGUAAUCGAAUUUGGUUAUCUGGUCUUCCUGAUGUUAGAACAUUUAUAUAAAAACAUAUUUAAAAAUGUAUUUCUGUAACGUUUAAUUUUCUUUUUUGGUGAAAUUGUGUCUGUGUUCAUCAAGACAUGAAGACUCUGGAGUGGGACAAGAAGGAUGAAGGAUGAUGGGGUGUAUAUUCCAAUAGACACAUCAAGUCACAUUGUGAUUUCAGUGAAAGCUGAUAAAUACAGAGGGCUGGGCAGUGGUUUCAUUGAUUAAGUAAAGAGGUGGGACAAUGAUGCUGACAGGACAGGAGGAGGUGACAUUCAGACAUUCAGCACAGACAUUUUCAUCCAAAGCAACUUGAGGAAGAAAACAGAAGCAGUUCAUCCUAAAAAGUGGGCUGCUGUAAUGUUUACAUCUAUGGAAAGAGGAGCUGAGAAGAAAAGAGAGGCUGGAAAGCACUACUUCUUGUUGAGGACAAUCCUGAAUAGGAACACUUUCUCAUACACAUAGAUUAUUAUUAGUGUUUGAUUUUUUUCUUUAUGAAUUGUAUUGUUUUAAUUUUUCGUUUUAUUUGAAAUUACCUAAGUUAGAUUCAUGCUAAUACUUUAACUGAAACUUGUAUCUUUGCUGGCUGGCUGUAGAGUUGGUUUCACAUACACAUGAAGUUUCUAAUUAACUAACUUUUAAGUUCAGUUUGGUUUAAACUUGUAUUUACCCAUGGUAAUUCAUUUAAAUUUCAAAUCAUGCUAAUAUAUUAAUUUCAAUGAACUUCUGUAUUUGUGUAUAGCUGGCAAUUUGGGCAAACUACAUUUCACACAUCAAUGUCAAAAAGUUUUUUUUUUAUUAUCAGUUUGUUCUAAACUUUUGUUUGUUUACUAAGGAUGAAAUUGCUUUGUAAUUUAAGUUGUUGGUGUUAGAUUCAUGCCAAUAAUGUAUUUGAACAAACUAGUAUUUUUGUUUAUUGCUGGCAGUUUAUACUAGAAGAGUUUUAACACAUACAAUGUUGUAGUGUUAUUGACUUGUGUGCUAUUGAUUAAUAAAAAGGCAAACAAUUUGAAA
Non-coding RNA from Misgurnus anguillicaudatus (oriental weatherfish), 1653 nucleotides. Lineage: Eukaryota; Metazoa; Chordata; Actinopteri; Cypriniformes; Cobitidae. The record is from RefSeq and is a predicted model, not a curated record.